UACGAAGGGGGCUAGCGUUGUUCGGAUUUACUGGGCGUAAAGCGCACGUAGGCGGAUCGUUAAGUCGGGGGUGAAAUCCUGGAGCUCAACUCCAGAACUGCCUUUGAUACUGAGGAUCUUGAGUUCGGGAGAGGUGAGUGGAACUGCGAGUGUAGAGGUGAAAUUCGUAGAUAUUAGGAAGAACACCAGUGGCGAAGGCGGCUUACUGGUCCGGAACUGACGCUGAGGUGCGAAAGCGUGGGGAGCAAACAGG
RNAcentral lists this ribosomal RNA (253 nucleotides) under uncultured bacterium. RNAcentral's name for it is "partial 16S ribosomal RNA". It matches the Rfam family "Bacterial small subunit ribosomal RNA", at positions 524 to 776 of the family's 1533-position model. The record is from RNAcentral.